This 850-nucleotide ribosomal RNA is filed under the name uncultured bacterium. Its description in RNAcentral is "bacterial SSU rRNA". It matches the Rfam family "Bacterial small subunit ribosomal RNA", at positions 53 to 884 of the family's 1533-position model. The record is from RNAcentral.
ACCUGCAGUCGACGCGAAAGUGGAGCAAUCCAUGAGUAGAGUGGCAAACGGGUGAGUAACGCGUGGGUGACCUGCCUUCGAGCGGGGGAUAACGUUCCGAAAGGGACGCUAAUACCGCAUAACAUCCUGUCUUUCAAGAGAUGGUGAUCAAAGCCGGGGAUCGCAAGACCUGGCACUCGAAGAGGGGCCCGCGUCCGAUUAGCUAGUUGGUGAGGUAAUGGCUCACCAAGGCGACGAUCGGUAGCCGGCCUGAGAGGGCGGACGGCCACACUGGGACUGAGACACGGCCCAGACUCCUACGGGAGGCAGCAGUGGGGAAUUGUUCACAAUGGGCGCAAGCCUGAUGACGCAACGCCGCGUGGGGGAUGAAGAUCUUCGGGUCGUAAACUCCUUUCGAUCGGGACGAAUGGCUUCCGGCCUAAUCACCGGGAGAAUGACGGUACCGAGAGAAGAAGCCCCGGCUAACUCCGUGCCAGCAGCCGCGGUAAUACGGGGGGGGCAAGCGUUGUUCGGAAUUACUGGGCGUAAAGGGCUCGUAGGCGGCCAACUAAGUCGGACGUGAAAUCCCUCGGCUUAACCGGGGAACUGCGUCCGAUACUGGAUGGCUUGAGUUUGGGAGAGGGAUGCGGAAUUCCAGGUGUAGCGGUGAAAUGCGUAGAUAUCUGGAGGAACACGGGUGGCGAAGGCGGCAUCCUGGACCAACACUGACGCUGAGGAGCGAAAGCCAGGGGAGCAAACGGGAUUAGAUACCCCGGUAGUCCUGGCCCUAAACGAUGAAUGCUUGGUGUGGCGGGUAUCGAUCCCUGCCGUGCCGAAGCUAACGCAUUAAGCAUUCCGCCUGGGGAGUACG